RNAcentral lists this long non-coding RNA (368 nucleotides) under Homo sapiens (human). RNAcentral's name for it is "non-protein coding lnc-NBPF11-1:1". The record is from RNAcentral. Lineage: Eukaryota; Metazoa; Chordata; Mammalia; Primates; Hominidae.
AAGUGCUUCGGUCAGGCAGUAUCUUUGAAAAUAAUUUGGCCAAUGAAAGCCCUGGCAUUGGAUGAAAGUGCUAGCUGCUGGGAAUGCUACCCCUCCUUUUGGUUCUCUUUCAAGUCCUUCAGGUUCAAACAAUACAGAAGUGUAUAAAGUAAGAAUUGAAAGUCUCUUCGCUGCUCUAAUCUCACUCCUCAGAGGUGAUCACUGAUUAUCAUCCCAGAGCCCUCCCUGAAGCCCACACACAGCUUCUUCAGGAAAUGCUGACAGCAUGGUAUACACAUGGCUUCCAUGUUUGUCAUGGUUCCAAAGUUUGCUUUUGAAAGAGUUUAAUUUCUUUCUUUCUUUCUUUCUUUCUUUCCUUUAUUGGCUAA